CAGCCGCCGCGGGAAUACGAAGGGGGCUAGCGUUGUUCGGAAUUACUGGGCGUAAAGCGCACGUAGGCGGAUAUUUAAGUCAGGGGUGAAAUCCCAGAGCUCAACCCCGGAACUGCCUUUGAAACUAGGUGACUAGAAUCUUGGAGAGGUCAGUGGAAUUCCGAGUGUAGAGGUGAAAUUCGUAGAUAUUCGGAAGAACACCAGUGGCGAAGGCGACUGACUGGACAAGUAUUGACGCUGAGGUGCGAAAGCGUGGGGAGCAAACAGGAUUAGAUACCCCUGUAGUCCCUGUCUCUUAUAU
Molecule: ribosomal RNA, 301 nt
Filed under: uncultured bacterium
Lineage: Bacteria
Description: partial 16S ribosomal RNA
Rfam family: Bacterial small subunit ribosomal RNA
Source: RNAcentral